AUUUAGCAUGGGCGAANGCCUGNCUAUGCGACGCCGCGUGAGGGAUGAAGGUCUUCGGAUUGUAAACCUCUUUUUUCAGGGAAGAAUGUCCUGCAACUAAUAGUUUGCAGGAUUGCCGGUACCUGACGAAUAAGCCACGGCCAACUCCGUGCCAGCAGCCGCGGUAAUACGGAGGUGGCAAGCGUUACUCGGAAUCAUUGGGUGUAAAGGGCAAGUAGGCGGUUUGAUAAGUGAGGGGUGAAAUCUUCCGACUCAAUCGGAAAACUGCCUUUCAAACUAUCAAACUUGAGGCAAGAAGGGGGAAGUGGAAUUCUCAGUGUAAGGGUGAAAUCUGUAGAUAUUGAGAAGAACACCGGCGGCGAAGGCGACUUCCUGGUCUUGUCCUGACGCUAAAUUGCGAAAGCUUGGGGAGCAAACAGAAUUAGAUACUCUGGUAGUCCAAGCCGUAAACGAUGAGCACUAGGUGUUGGCCCUUCUGGGGUCAGUGCCGCAGCUAACGCAUUAAGUGCUCCACCUGGGGACUACGGUCGCAAGGCUAAAACUCAAAAAAAUUGACGGA
RNAcentral lists this ribosomal RNA (559 nucleotides) under uncultured bacterium. RNAcentral's name for it is "bacterial SSU rRNA". It matches the Rfam family "Bacterial small subunit ribosomal RNA", at positions 363 to 917 of the family's 1533-position model. The record is from RNAcentral.